UUCUGAAUGAGUGGUUAUAGCGGUAGC
Molecule: small RNA, 27 nt
Filed under: Bombyx mori (domestic silkworm)
Lineage: Eukaryota; Metazoa; Arthropoda; Insecta; Lepidoptera; Bombycidae
Description: ovarian small RNA-4076
Source: RNAcentral